CAAUUGAUCAAAUAAAUAUGCUGAAUCGAAAAGAAAGAGAGAGAGAGCGAGAGAUCAUCCUCUGCUAUGGAAAUGGGAUCUCAGUCUUGGCUUCCCAGCUGAAUCACUAGCGCCAUUACUUCCAUCGAUACCUUUGAUUCAGUCACUGACUUUUCUCUCACUCUCCUUCCCUUUACAGGUUCGUUAAUUUUCAUGUAAAUGAUCAACCUGAGCAGUAGCUCAAGCGAUGACUUUACAAGUCUGAUUCAAGAGGUAGGCUCCACACAAUGCAACUGGCACCAAAUAAUGAUGAAAAUGCACACAUUUUAAGUCAAUUGGAUUUUCAGCCACAAUCUGUGGAAUCGUCAUCCCCAAAUGAGAUUAUUGUCAUAGGGAGAGAGAGCUCCGUUACGGAAGAUGAUUUACACAAUCUUAACGUUGAUGAAACUUGUCACCUGGUGAACGCAGACCUACUGCAAUGUCGGAUAUGCCUUGACACCGGAGGAGAAGAUUUAAUCGCGCCAUGCCACUGCAAAGGCACUCAGAAGUAUGUCCAUAGAUUAUGUCUUGAUAAUUGGAGGUCCACAAAGGAGGGCUUUGCUUUUGCUCAUUGUACAGAGUGCAGAGCUAUGUUCAUGAUACGUGCAAAUGUCCCUACUGAUCGCUGGUGGUUAAGACUGAAGUUUCAGUUUCUCGUUGCUAGAGACCAUGCGUUCAUUUUCAUCAUUGUUCAGCUGAUUGUGGCAUUCUUGGGGGUGUUGGUGUACAAAUUCUACGGGGAGGAACUAAGGGAAAUGUUUGGUUACGAAGAACACCCAUAUGGGUUCUACGCCAUGGCUGUCCUGGCUAUCAUCUUGGUUGGAUUACUCUAUGGAUUCUUCAUAGCGAUUAUAUGCGGGCAGAGGAUAAAUGAACGCCACUACCAUGUCCUUGCUAAGCAAGAACUGACAAAGGUCCAGUAACGAUUUAAGAUCAGAAUAUUGUAAAAUUGUCCUCCCCCCGUUAAGAGUUUUAUGUCAAAGUUGAGCUUACAGCGGAGUAUAUAGUCGAAGAUCGAGAACAUAACAAAAGUGUUCCUGAACUAGACCCCAGACAUGUUAUGGAGCUAAGGAUGUUAGGCCUGUAUUAAUCUGGAACUUCGUGAACUCUACUUGAUGUUUUGAUUGAUUUGGCGGGUAUACCUUUGAGUUGAUCAAACAAGGCAAAUUGUUUAUAAAAUUUCGCAAGAUACCUAGCAAGAAGAGUCUGUUCCCUCCUCAUUUACUAUAGCGGUCUGUUUGAACAAAUAAGGAGUCGCUUCUUGGUUGGGCACACAGACUUCCUGGUGUAAAUGGGCAUUCUACGUGAUGACGAGGAAAUUGCUUCCCGUCCCGCCAGGCUCCCCCUUACCCCUGAAGGCCAUUUCACAUAUCCUUUUGGAUUUGUAUUUCUUUGUGAAUGAUUCAAAUUAGUAAAUUAAACUGUAAUUUCUCUGUUAGCUAUUGAGUUAUCCAAGAUGCUUCAAGGUUAAGACA
This is an RNA transcript of Cucurbita maxima (winter squash), 1493 nucleotides long. It is a transcript of the gene named E3 ubiquitin-protein ligase MARCH8-like, with no coding region annotated. The transcript is spliced from 9 exons. Lineage: Eukaryota; Viridiplantae; Streptophyta; Magnoliopsida; Cucurbitales; Cucurbitaceae. The record is from RefSeq and is a predicted model, not a curated record.